This 312-nucleotide RNase P RNA is filed under the name uncultured Ruminococcus sp. RNAcentral describes it as "Bacterial RNase P class A". It matches the Rfam family "Bacterial RNase P class A", at positions 34 to 362 of the family's 367-position model. Rfam says of the family: Ribonuclease P (RNase P) is a ubiquitous endoribonuclease, found in archaea, bacteria and eukarya as well as chloroplasts and mitochondria. Its best characterised activity is the generation of mature 5'-ends of tRNAs by cleaving the 5'-leader elements of precursor-tRNAs. The record is from RNAcentral. Lineage: Bacteria; Bacillati; Bacillota; Clostridia; Eubacteriales; Oscillospiraceae.
UUAGUUUAUGAGGAAAGUCCGGGCAUCACAGGGCAGGGUAGCUGUUAACGACAGCCGGAGGCGACUCCCGAAACAGUGCAACAGAAAGAAACUGCCUCUUUAUGAGGUGAUGGUGGAAAGGUGCGGUAAGAGCGUACCAGAGUACAGGUGACUGUACUGCUAUGCAAACUUUACCUGAUGCAACAUCUAUUUGGAACUUUAUGUCAUAACGUUUGCCCGACGGAUAUAAAGUUAUGGUGGCUUGAGCCUAUCGGCGACGGUGGGUCUAGAUAAAUUGCUGUACUCGACAGAACCCGGCUUAUCGGUCUGGUC